UACGUAGGGUGCAAGCGUUGUCCGGAAUUAUUGGGCGUAAAGAGCUUGUAGGCGGUUUGUCGCGUCUGCUGUGAAAUUUCGGGGCUCAACCCCGAACUUGCAGUGGGUACGGGCAGACUAGAGUGUGGUAGGGGAGACUGGAAUUCCUGGUGUAGCGGUGAAAUGCGCAGAUAUCAGGAGGAACACCGGUGGCGAAGGCAGGGCUCUGGGCCACUACUGACGCUGAGGAGCGAAAGCGUGGGGAGCGAACAGG
This 253-nucleotide ribosomal RNA is filed under the name uncultured bacterium. RNAcentral's name for it is "partial 16S ribosomal RNA". It matches the Rfam family "Bacterial small subunit ribosomal RNA", at positions 524 to 776 of the family's 1533-position model. The record is from RNAcentral.